CCGCUCCUGCUGCUGCUGCUGCUGUUCUGCUGAGUGACGACUGUCUCUCCACAGAAUCACCGGCAGCUCUCUCCUGUCGGUCUUCACCGCGUUCUCAGGGGAUCUUACGAGUCUCUCAGCCAGCAGGUAGACCAAAGCAGCAGAAAAACACUGGCCACACAGCUACUCUAAGCAAGCUGAUAACCGCAAGGCAAGGGAGCUAGAUUAGAUAUGAAUGGGAGGAGAGGUGCCCCCUUCAGAGCAGGAGCCCGGCGGCAGAUGACUCCAUUGCCUCCCAGAGUUAUGCCUCCAUGCAGACAAUGUUGAGGAUAGUCAAGUGUGACACUCAGUCGCCUUGUCCUUCCAUAAGACCUGGGGGCAUAUGAAUACGGAGUGGACCUAAUUCACCCUGGAAAGGCAGCUGCUAAAAGGGCACGCAGCAAAUCUGAUGGGACCUCCAACUGAACAACCUGCAGGAGUGCACAAUUAGCUCUACACAUACGUUUCUACAAUGCGAAGUAAAAUGUGCGUGUUUAAUUCUGCGCUCUACUGCUUAAACAUGUAAUAAAGUGUGGUCCCUGUUACUUCUACUGGCUGGACACUCGUUUACCCUGCACUGUCACUUUGGAGAAAGCAUCUACAGAUUCCGGAGACUGUGGCUGCCAAUCCUGCCCUAUUCCAUCAGUGGGACUCCGUGACAUGUAUGCAAUGUUCCUGUGCCUAAAGGAUUUCGUAAAUGUGAUUUUAUACUUCUUGUUGUUGUAA
Long non-coding RNA from Pseudophryne corroboree (corroboree frog), 744 nucleotides. RefSeq lists it as uncharacterized. The transcript is spliced from 6 exons. Lineage: Eukaryota; Metazoa; Chordata; Amphibia; Anura; Myobatrachidae. The record is from RefSeq and is a predicted model, not a curated record.